Molecule: ribosomal RNA, 271 nt
Filed under: uncultured archaeon
Lineage: Archaea
Description: partial 16S ribosomal RNA
Rfam family: Archaeal small subunit ribosomal RNA
Source: RNAcentral
CCGCGUCACGAGUGGCAACCAUAUUCAUUGGGCCUAAAGCGUCCGUAGCCUGUUUGAUAAGUCUUUUGUGAAAUCGUUGAGCUCAACUUAACGUCGUGCAAGAGAUACUGUCAGACUUGGAAUUGGGAAGAGUUAGAGGUAUUCUGGGGGGAGCGGUAAAAUGCUAUAAUCCCUGGAGGACCACCAGUGGCGAAAGCGUCUAACUAGAACAACUUCGACGGUGAGGGACGAAAGCCAGGGGAGCAAAACGGAUUAGAGACCCGAGUAGUCC